Molecule: non-coding RNA, 2619 nt
Organism: Meleagris gallopavo (turkey)
Lineage: Eukaryota; Metazoa; Chordata; Aves; Galliformes; Phasianidae
Source: RefSeq, a predicted model, not a curated record
GCAAGAGAGGCCUCUGGGAGCUGAAGAAGAUUUGAUCAUGUUCGGCCUGGUGCUAAAAACAAAAUUGAAAAAAAAAGAUUAUCGCUAAAAUUGCUUCUCUCCUACAGGCAGGAAGAAAUACAUGAAACUGGGCACCCAAAUUGUCAGAGUAUCUUGAUGAUAAGUUUGCAGGUUACUUCCAAGUCUGACAGGAGAAACAGCGAGUUUGAGACUAUGAACAGGAAGGACAGCUGUUAUGAUAACCUGACUUUUCCCAACAAGAGUGGCAAAAUGAAUUUCUCCACUGAAGAGCAGAUCCUUCCUCUUCAAUAUAUUAUUAAAAGAUUGAAAGGCAAAACUCCUCAGGUGGAUGCUACCACUACCUUACUUCGAAAAUGAAGUUGUUGUUCCAGAAUUUAAUUGGAAAGGACUCAGCACACACCAUGAAAGGCCAUUCCUUGCAGCUUCCUUGAUGACCCAGAAUGAAUUUGACUUCAGGCUGAAGAAGCUGGGAGGAAACCACUCAUGCCAGCUGCCUUUUUCUUGUCAUGCCAUGAUUGUCACAGAAAUAAAGAUUGUGUGGAAGGUGGCUAAGGAGUUAAAUAGAGUCAGGAAAAAAAAGAAAAAAGAAAAAAGAAAAGAAAAAACACUAUAAAAAUAAAAGGCACCAAUAAAAUAUACCAAUAACUUAGCAUAACACCAAUAUAUCACACUGUAAAAUGAGUAAAUUAAACUCUUUUAAAUUUUACCACUUGCUGCUACUGGUGGGUGUCAUUUCCCACCACACCUUUAUCUUCACAAACGAGUUUAGCACCAAGGAAUGAUGCAGAUAUGUAGGAGUGACAACUAUCAGGCAGUCAAUAUGCCUGAAUAACCUGAGCUCCAACGGGUCUUUUUCUCUGGGACAGCUCUACACCAAAGGAAAAUGUAAAUGAGAAAGAUUAUGCUAUUACAGCCUUGCUCUCUAUGCGGUGUGAGGAAAUACAGAAUUUUAAAUAGGGCAUGACUUGUCGAAGCCAGACUGUCACUUUUUUCGUGCCUUGGAUCCUUUCAAUACAUGGCUCUUAUGAGGAACCAAAACCAAUGGCAGUGCUGGUCAAUGCAACCAAGAUCCGAGCAUCCCAUGCCUAUGUAAUGAUGUUGCAUGAUGAGAAACAUCUGUGAGAUCAUUCAGUUAGACAUUCUGAGGAAGGAGGAAAACAGUUUUUUUUAAAUAAAUCUGUUUUCAACCAAGCAACAUAUUUCCUGUCUAAAAUACUAUGGAGAUAACAUUAAAAACGUCCUGAAAUAAAUUCACUUUUUUCUAUUUUUGGCUUUCCUAGAAAUUAUACCAACUUCUUUAGAAAUUGAACUUUAUAUCAUUCAAUGUGAUUUGAGAUUGAAAAAAUUUCCAGAUAUCAGUGAUCCUUAUAAAAGUGGAAAGCUUCUAAAUCCUAUUGACAAAGCUACUAAGUUUAUGCUUUAAAAGUAGGUCACCUGGGAAUAAGGGAAAACCUGCUUUUCUGGUAGUAGCAAAAGGCUACUAAGAUUUGCUGUUGGUGUACUGAAGGGGCAUAUUAGCAAGCCAAAAAGCAGGAAGGUGGGUAUUUAUUUGCAUGCUUUAAAAACUGGCAGAAAUGAGAUGUGCUUGAAGAAAAUCAUUCAGUCUUUUGGUGACAUGUUCUACAUACAUCUUGAACUCCAAUCCCACAGCAGUGUGCCAUUAAAACUGCAGAAAACGUAAAUGCCCAGUGUAUUAGCAAUGAAGCUUUCUUAAUUGCAGUGCUAUAAAUGCUCUACUUCAGAAGGAACAACACACAAUGGCUUCUCCUGAUUACAAUUAUGUGAUGAAUACAUCUGAGGAAAAAGUCAAUCAAAGUAGAUCAUGAUUCUCAGCCUACUUAAAAGCCUCAGUUUCACAGAGAGAAACUGUAGUGUGACUGAAACUAAGAUCUUGCCUCUCAGAAGCUCUGCUGCCAAUACUGUGUUGCACCAGUUAUGAGAUUGAUGGAUAUCUGUCUGUUUGUUGAGAUCUUAUGUUUGAGGUGAAUUUAUAGAUUUUUUAUACAAAAACAUAAUUUGGGGAAAAUAGUUUUGAGUGUUUUAAGUAUAUUUCUUCACAUCGCUGGUUGACACAUGACCUGAAUAUAUAUCCAUAAACUCUACUGCAUGAUAGUUUAAAUAUAAAAUAUUUAUUAUUUAAGUUAUUUAUUGAAAAAUUGCUUACCCAGUAAAUAUAUGAAUUUCAAAAGAAUUAAUGGUAAUCUUGGCAAAAAAUAUAUAAAAGAAAAAUUAGAAAAUUUUGGUGUGAAAAUUAUAUAAACAGGACAAUUCUUUUUCCCUUAACGCUAGUUUCACUAUGCUAUUUGGACAGUUUUUUCAGUCAAAAUUAGCACGAAGACAGGAUUGUUUGUAUAAGGCUAAGAAGAAUGGGCUUAAGGCCUGAGGUGUAUUUCUGUAAGAAAGGCCAAAAUAGACAGUUUUUCCUAAAAUCAAAUUUCUGAAUGUAUAUAUUUUAUUUUAUGUUUACCUAGAGGAGACAGUUCUUUUACACUAUUAAAAGUAAUCCUGCCCUGUACUUGGAAUUGGUGAGGCCUCACCUCGAGUACUGUGUUCCGUUUUGGGCACCUCGGUACAGAAAGGACAUUGAGGUGCUGGAGC